Long non-coding RNA from Topomyia yanbarensis, 205 nucleotides. RefSeq lists it as uncharacterized. The record is from RefSeq and is a predicted model, not a curated record. Lineage: Eukaryota; Metazoa; Arthropoda; Insecta; Diptera; Culicidae. The transcript is spliced from 3 exons.
CACAGUUUAUGAUCACAGAUUGGUUGAAUAGGUAGAAAUACCAGACUAAUGUUUGAGGUUUAACAUCGAAUUAUAUUUACGUUGCAAUUGAUUAAACUAAUCUACAAUCCGUAAAUCGACUUAAUGCGCCAGUGGAUUGGAUACUUGCAUUCAUUCUAGAAGUUGAUAGAUCACCGUAGUGAAUCUACUGCCAGCCAGGGGCCAC